RNAcentral lists this ribosomal RNA (465 nucleotides) under uncultured soil bacterium. RNAcentral describes it as "bacterial SSU rRNA". It matches the Rfam family "Bacterial small subunit ribosomal RNA", at positions 43 to 525 of the family's 1533-position model. The record is from RNAcentral.
CAGGCCUAACACAUGCAAGUCGAACGAUGAUUGCGGAGCUUGCUCUGCAUGAUUAGUGGCGCACGGGUGAGUAUACCAUAGAUAAUGUACCCCUUAGUUCGGGAUAGCCACUGGAAACGGUGAUUAAUACCGGAUACUCCUUCUUGUCUCAAGGCAAGUCGGGAAAGUUUUUUCGCUAAGGGAUCAGUCUAUGUCCUAUCAGCUAGUUGGUGAGGUAAUGGCUCACCAAGGCUAUGACGGGUAUCUGGUUUGAGAGGAUGAUCAGACACACUGGAACUGAGACACGGUCCAGACUCCUACGGGAGGCAGCAGUGAGGAAUAUUGCACAAUGGAGGAAACUCUGAUGCAGCAACGCCGCGUGGAGGAUGACGCAUUUCGGUGUGUAAACUCCUUUUAUUAGGGAAGAUAAUGACGGUACCUAAUGAAUAAGCACCGGCUAACUCCGUGCCAGCAGCCGCGGUAAUA